This 556-nucleotide ribosomal RNA is filed under the name uncultured bacterium. RNAcentral's name for it is "bacterial SSU rRNA". It matches the Rfam family "Bacterial small subunit ribosomal RNA", at positions 362 to 917 of the family's 1533-position model. The record is from RNAcentral.
UAUUGGUCAAUGGACGCAAGUCUGAACCAGCCAUGCCGCGUGGAGGAUGAAGGUCCUCUGGAUUGUAAACUUCUUUUAUCUGGGACGAAAAAGGGCCUUUCCAGGCCAACUGACGGUACCAGAUGAAUAAGCACCGGCUAACUCCGUGCCAGCAGCCGCGGUAAUACNGGAGGGUGCAAGCGUUAUCCGGAUUCACUGGGUUUAAAGGGUGCGUAGGUGGGCAGGUAAGUCAGUGGUGAAAUCUUUGGGCUUAACCCGAAAACUGCCAUUGAUACUAUUUGUCUUGAAUAUUGUGGAGGUCAGCGGAAUAUGUCAUGUAGCGGUGAAAUGCUUAGAUAUGACAUAGAACACCAAUUGCGAAGGCAGCUGGCUACACAUAUAUUGACACUGAUGCACGAAAGCGUGGGGAUCAAACAGGAUUAGAUACCCUGGUAGUCCACGCCCUAAACGAUGGAUACUCGACAUACGCGAUAUACUGUGUGUGUCUGAGCGAAAGCAUUAAGUAUCCCACCUGGGAAGUACGAUCGCAAGAUUGAAACUCAAAAAAAUUGACGGA